GAUGAACGCUGGCGGCGUGCCUAAUACAUGCAAGUCGAGCGAACAGAUGAGGAGCUUGCUCCUCUGACGUUAGCGGCGGACGGGUGAGUAACACGUGGAUAACCUACCUAUAAGACUGGGAUAACUUCGGGAAACCGGAGCUAAUACCGGAUAAUAUAUUGAACCGCAUGGUUCAAUAGUGAAGGACGGUUUUGCUGUCACUUAUAGAUGGAUCCGCGCCGCAUUAGCUAGUUGGUAAGGUAACGGCUUACCAAGGCAACGAUGCGUAGCCGACCUGAGAGGGUGAUCGGCCACACUGGAACUGAGACCCGGUCCAGACUCCUACGGGAGGCAGCAGUAGGGAAUCUUCCGCAAUGGGCGAAAGCCUGACGGAGCAACGCCGCGUGAGUGAUGAAGGUCUUCGGAUCGUAAAACUCUGUUAUUAGGGAAGAACAAAUGUGUAAGUAACUAUGCACGUCUUGACGGUACCUAAUCAGAAAGCCACGGCUAACUACGUG
RNAcentral lists this ribosomal RNA (497 nucleotides) under uncultured bacterium. Its description in RNAcentral is "partial 16S ribosomal RNA". It matches the Rfam family "Bacterial small subunit ribosomal RNA", at positions 28 to 507 of the family's 1533-position model. The record is from RNAcentral.